UUUUGUAAUUAAAUAAGAAAG
RNAcentral lists this non-coding RNA (21 nucleotides) under Caenorhabditis elegans. The record is from RNAcentral. Lineage: Eukaryota; Metazoa; Nematoda; Chromadorea; Rhabditida; Rhabditidae.